AGUGGCCCGACGGGGCCUCUGCAAUGGAGGCAGUGUGAACCCCGCCAGGCCCGGAAGGGAGCAACGGUAGCAUUGUCUUCCAUGUGCCGGAGAAUCCCUGUCGGGCCUCUAUAU
Molecule: signal recognition particle RNA, 114 nt
Filed under: Flexistipes sinusarabici DSM 4947
Lineage: Bacteria; Pseudomonadati; Deferribacterota; Deferribacteres; Deferribacterales; Flexistipitaceae
Description: RNA component of signal recognition particle
Rfam family: Bacterial small signal recognition particle RNA (bases 8-106)
About the family: The signal recognition particle (SRP) is a universally conserved ribonucleoprotein involved in the co-translational targeting of proteins to membranes. Archaeal SRP consists of a 7S RNA and homologues of the eukaryotic SRP19 and SRP54 proteins.
Source: RNAcentral